RNAcentral lists this ribosomal RNA (279 nucleotides) under uncultured bacterium. RNAcentral's name for it is "partial 16S ribosomal RNA". It matches the Rfam family "Bacterial small subunit ribosomal RNA", at positions 506 to 784 of the family's 1533-position model. The record is from RNAcentral.
UGCCAGCAGCCGCGGUAAUACAGAGGGUGCAAGCGUUAAUCGGAAUGACUGGGCGUAAAGGGUGCGUAGGUGGAUAGAUAAGUCAGGUGUGAAAUCCCAGAGCUUAACUUUGGAAUUGCGCUUGAAACUGUUUAACUAGAGUACUGUAGAGGGUAGUGGAAUUUCCGGUGUAGCGGUGAAAUGCGUAGAUAUCGGAAGGAACACCAGUGGCGAAGGCGGCUACCUGGACAGAGACUGACACUGAGGCACGAAAGCGUGGGUAGCGAACAGGAUUAGAUA